RNAcentral lists this ribosomal RNA (841 nucleotides) under uncultured bacterium. RNAcentral describes it as "bacterial SSU rRNA". It matches the Rfam family "Bacterial small subunit ribosomal RNA", at positions 62 to 862 of the family's 1533-position model. The record is from RNAcentral.
UCGAGCGAGUCUGCCUUGAAGAUCGGAGUGCUUGCACUCUGUGAAACAAGAUACAGGCUAGCGGCGGACGGGUGAGUAACACGUGGGUAACCUGCCCAAGAGAUCGGGAUAACACCUGGAAACAGAUGCUAAUACCGGAUAACAACAGAUGAUGCCUAUCAACUGUUUAAAAGAUGGUUCUGCUAUCACUCUUGGAUGGACCUGCGGUGCAUUAGCUAGUUGGUAGGGUAACGGCCUACCAAGGCGAUGAUGCAUAGCCGAGUUGAGAGACUGAUCGGCCACAUUGGGACUGAGACACGGCCCAAACUCCUACGGGAGGCAGCAGUAGGGAAUCUUCCACAAUGGACGCAAGUCUGAUGGAGCAACGCCGCGUGAGUGAAGAAGGGUUUCGGCUCGUAAAGCUCUGUUGUUGGUGAAGAAGGACAGGGGUAGUAACUGACCUUUGUUUGACGGUAAUCAAUUAGAAAGUCACGGCUAACUACGUGCCAGCAGCCGCGGUAAUACGUAGGUGGCAAGCGUUGUCCGGAUUUAUUGGGCGUAAAGCGAGUGCAGGCGGCUCGAUAAGUCUGAUGUGAAAGCCUUCGGCUCAACCGGAGAAUUGCAUCAGAAACUGUCGAGCUUGAGUACAGAAGAGGAGAGUGGAACUCCAUGUGUAGCGGUGAAAUGCGUAGAUAUAUGGAAGAACACCGGUGGCGAAGGCGGCUCUCUGGUCUGUUACUGACGCUGAGGCUCGAAAGCAUGGGUAGCGAACAGGAUUAGAUACCCUGGUAGUCCAUGCCGUAAACGAUGAGUGCUAAGUGUUGGGAGGUUUCCGCCUCNNNGUGCUGCAGCUAACGCAUUA